Non-coding RNA from Dromiciops gliroides (monito del monte), 475 nucleotides. Lineage: Eukaryota; Metazoa; Chordata; Mammalia; Microbiotheria; Microbiotheriidae. The record is from the annotation of a RefSeq genome assembly.
GACAAGCUCAAGCUCUUUGUGCUCUUCUUUCAGAGAACUAGCCCAGAAACUCACCAUGAAAUUUAGGCUGAACUUGGUUUUCCUUCUUACUGUUUUCCAAGGUGUCCAGUGUGAUGUUCAGCUGGUGGAGUCUGGGGGAGAUGUGAGACAGCCUGGGAGUUCCCUGAGUCUCUCCUGCAAAGCUUCUGGAUUUACCUUCAGCGGCUCCUGGAUGAGCUGGGUUCGCCAGGCUCCAGGGAAGGGACUGGAAUGGGUUGCAAGCAUUAAUACUGAUGGAAGUAGCACAUAUUAUGCAGACUCUGUGAAAGGUCGAUUCACCAUCUCCAGAGAUAAUGGCAACAGCAUGUUAUAUGUGAAGAUAAAUUCCCUUAAAACUGAGGAUACAGCUGUGUAUUACUGUGCAAGAGACACAGUGAAGAAAAGGAAUGUGAGACUAGACAGAAACUUCCUAUGCCAGGAGGCAAGAGACCAGUGA